Small nuclear RNA from Temnothorax curvispinosus, 101 nucleotides. NCBI's taxonomy places the organism in Eukaryota, Metazoa, Arthropoda, Insecta, Hymenoptera, Formicidae. The record is from RefSeq and is a predicted model, not a curated record.
GUAUAUAUGCAUACAAAAAAAUUCGGACGAUAAAGAAAAUUAGCAUAGCCCUUGCGUAAGAAUGACACGAAAAAUGGUAAAGGGUACCGUUCUACAUUUUU